This 477-nucleotide ribosomal RNA is filed under the name uncultured bacterium. RNAcentral describes it as "partial 16S ribosomal RNA". It matches the Rfam family "Bacterial small subunit ribosomal RNA", at positions 28 to 523 of the family's 1533-position model. The record is from RNAcentral.
GACGAACGCUGGCGGCGUGCUUAACACAUGCAAGUCGAGCGGAAAGGCCCUUCGGGGUACUCGAGCGGCGAACGGGUGAGUAACACGUGAGUAACCUGCCCUUCACUUUGGGAUAACCCUCGGAAACGGGGGCUAAUACCGGAUAUGACUUGGGGUCGCAUGGCCUUGGGUGGAAAGUUUUUCGGUGGGGGAUGGGCGCGCGGCCUAUCAGCUUGUUGGUGGGGUGAUGGCCUACCAAGGCGACGACGGGUAGCCGGCCUGAGAGGGCGAACGGCCACACUGGGACUGGGACACGGCCCAGACUCCUACGGGAGGCAGCAGUGGGGAAUAUUGCACAAUGGGCGGAAGCCUGAUGCAGCGGCGCCGCGUGAGGGAUGACGGCCUUCGGGUUGUAAACCUCUUUCAGCACCGACGAAGCGAGAGUGACGGUAGGUGCAGAAGAAGCGCCGGCCAACUACGUGCCAGCAGCCGCAGUAA